RNAcentral lists this ribosomal RNA (254 nucleotides) under uncultured bacterium. Its description in RNAcentral is "partial 16S ribosomal RNA". It matches the Rfam family "Bacterial small subunit ribosomal RNA", at positions 524 to 776 of the family's 1533-position model. The record is from RNAcentral.
UACAGAGGGUGCGAGCGUUGUCCGGAAUCACUGGGCGUAAAGGGCGCGUAGGUGGUGGCUUAAGCGUGCGGUGAAAGCCCGGGGCUCAACUCCGGAAUUGCCUUUAAGACUGCAUCGCUAGAAUUGUGGAGAGGUAAGUGGAAUUCCGAGUGUAGAGGUGAAAUUCGUAGAUAUUCGGAAGAACACCAGUGGCGAAGGCGACUUACUGGACACAUAUUGACGCUGAGGUGCGAAAGCGUGGGGGAGCAAACAGG